UGAUCUUUUUGGUUCAUAUGCUGAAUCAUCCUGUGCUGCUCUUGUUGUUGCUUCUAUCUCCUCUUUCGGCAACAACCAUGAGUUCACACCAAUGCUCUAUCCUCUCAUAGUUAGUUCUAUGGGUAUCCUUGUUUGCCUGAUCACCACUUUAUUUGCAACUGAUUUCUUUGAGAUCAAGGCUGUUAAGGAAAUUGAGCCAGCAUUGAAGAAGCAACUCAUAAUUUCCACUGUUCUAAUGACCUUUGGAAUUGCAAUUGUUACUUGGUUGGCUGUUCCAUCGAAAUUUACCAUCUUCAAUUUUGGAACUCAAAAAGUUGUACAGAACUGGGAACUUUUCUUGUGCGUUGCUGUUGGUCUUUGGGCUGGGCUUAUAAUAGGAUUUGUGACAGAGUAUUACACUAGCAAUGCAUACAGCCCCGUGCAAGAUGUUGCUGAUUCUUGCCGAACUGGAGCUGCUACAAAUGUUAUUUUUGGCUUGGCCUUGGGAUACAAAUCUGUCAUUAUCCCUAUUUUUGCAAUUGCAGUUAGCAUUUUUGUGAGUUUCUCCUUUGCUGCAAUGUAUGGCAUUGCCGUUGCUGCCCUUGGAAUGUUGAGUACAAUUGCUACUGGUUUGGCC
This 616-nucleotide unclassified non-coding RNA is filed under the name Hevea brasiliensis (rubber tree). The record is from RNAcentral. Lineage: Eukaryota; Viridiplantae; Streptophyta; Magnoliopsida; Malpighiales; Euphorbiaceae.